RNAcentral lists this ribosomal RNA (253 nucleotides) under uncultured bacterium. RNAcentral describes it as "partial 16S ribosomal RNA". It matches the Rfam family "Bacterial small subunit ribosomal RNA", at positions 524 to 776 of the family's 1533-position model. The record is from RNAcentral.
UACGAAGGGGGCUAGCGUUGUUCGGAAUUACUGGGCGUAAAGCGUGCGCAGGCGGCUUCUCAAGUCAGGGGUGAAAGCCCAGAGCUCAACUCUGGAAUUGCCUUUGAGACUGAGUGGCUUGAGUACGGGAGAGGUGAUUGGAAUUCCCAGUGUAGAGGUGAAAUUCGUAGAUAUUCGCAAGAACACCAGUGGCGAAGGCGGCUCACUGGCCCGAUACUGACGCUGAGGCACGAAAGCGUGGGGAGCAAACAGG